UUCCGGUUGAUUCUWCGGAGGCCAUUGCUAUCGGAGUUCGAUUUAGCCAUCUAGUCGCACGAGUUCAUACUCGUGGCAGAUAGCUCAGUGACACGUGGCCAAACUACCCUAUGGAUCAGAACAACCUCGGGAAACUGAGGCUAAUUCUGAAUAACGCUCUAUGCCUGGAAUGGCUUGAGCCGGAAAAGCUACGGCGCCAUAGGAUGUGGCUGCGGCCGAUUAGGUAGACGGUGGGGUAAGGGCCCACCGUGCCCAUAAUCGGUACGGGUUGUGAGAGCAAGAGCCCGGAGACGGUAUCUGAGACAAGAUACCGGGCCCUACGGGGWWCAGCAGGCGCGAAAACUUUACACUGCACGACAGUGMGAUAAGGGAACUCCGAGUGCGAGGGCAUAUCGUCCUCGCUUUUCUGUACCGUAGGGAGGUACAAGAAUAAGAGCUGGGCAAGACCGGUGCCAGCCGCCGCGGUAACACCGGCAGCUCAAGUGAUGGCCGAUAUUAUUGGGCCUAAAGCGUCCGUAGCCAGCUGAACAGGUCCGUCGGGAAAUCYGCUCGCUCAACGAGCAGGCGUCCGGCGGAAACCAGUCAGCUUGGGAUCGGAAGACCCGAGGGGUACGUCUGGGGUAGGAGUGAAAUCCCGUAAUCCUGGACGGACCACCGGUGGCGAAAGCGCCUCGGGAAGACGAAUCCGACGGUGAGGGACGAAAGCUAGGGUCACGAACCGGAUUAGAUACCCGGGUAGUCCUAGCCGUAAACGAUGCUCACUAGGUGUGGACUGGCUACGAGCCAGUGCUGUGCCGUAGGGAAGCCGUGAAGUGAGCCGCCUGGGAAGUACGUCCGCAAGGAUGAAACUUAAAGGAAUUGGCGGGGAGCACSCAACCGAGAGGGCAA
RNAcentral lists this ribosomal RNA (888 nucleotides) under uncultured haloarchaeon. RNAcentral describes it as "bacterial SSU rRNA". It matches the Rfam family "Archaeal small subunit ribosomal RNA", at positions 1 to 896 of the family's 1478-position model. Lineage: Archaea; Methanobacteriati; Methanobacteriota; Halobacteria; Halobacteriales; Halobacteriaceae. The record is from RNAcentral.